Molecule: ribosomal RNA, 253 nt
Filed under: uncultured bacterium
Lineage: Bacteria
Description: partial 16S ribosomal RNA
Rfam family: Bacterial small subunit ribosomal RNA
Source: RNAcentral
UACGAAGGGGGCUAGCGUUACUCGGAUUGACUGGGCGUAAAGGGCGCGUAGGCGGAUGGUACAGUCAGACGUGAAAUUCCUGGGCUCAACCUGGGGGCUGCGUUUGAUACGUGCUGUCUGGAGUUCGGAAGAGGGUCGUGGAAUUCCCAGUGUAGAGGUGAAAUUCGUAGAUAUUGGGAAGAACACCGGUGGCGAAGGCGGCGACCUGGUCCGAUACUGACGCUGAGGCACGAAAGCCAGGGGAGCAAACGGG